AAUACUGGAUCUGGAGCGUGUUGCCAUUUCCUACUCCAGGGAAUCUUCCUGACCCAGGGAUUGAACGUGCAUCUCUUGCAUCAUCAGGCGGAUUCUUUACCACUGAGCCACCUGGGAAGCCCAUGAAGUGUACAUGCAUUCAAAUUUAGUAGAUACUGCCAAAUGGCUUUUCAAGGUCUUCAAAACUUAACUUCCCACCAAGCAGUGCAUAAACAUGUUCACUGUGCCACAACCUCACCAAUAGUUGGCAUUCAAAAAUCUCUUUAAUUUAGCCUCUCUGGUGAGUGCAUGGUAGUAUUCCACUUAUUUUAAUUUGAUUUCUCCUGAUUACUAAUAACACGGAUUAUUUUAUUUCUAUUUUGGAUAGUUAGAUAUCCUUUUAUUUGUGAAACGCCUGUUCAGCCUUCUUAUAUAUAUUUAUGUUGUGUUAAAUAUAAAAAUUGUUUUCAGAAAUAAUGUUUAUAUAUUUGUACCUUUGUCAGUGUUACAAAUCGUUGAAGGCGGUCAUCACGUGGACUUGAGUGCAGGUUGACCCAGGAGCUGAGUCCGGGCUCCUCACUCCCUCCUUCCUGGAAUGUCCAUUUGACCUACCCUUCCUACCACCAGAGCUAUCUCAGCCACGAGUACAUAAGGUACUGUGAGACCACCUGGAUUGAAUGCAUGACUGAACCCAGGGUCAACGCUUUAUAGAAACUCUCAGAUUCAGUUUUAAAGUAGAUUCUCCAAAGUAGAUGUGUGGUUGCAUCUGGAUGGAUCCAUCAAGUCUGCUUAAGAAGGAAAUGGCAAGCCUGCCUUGAAAUGGAACACCCCAGGAAUACAACGAAAGUCUCUUUUUGAGACUAGGACUGGAUAAGAGGAGGACAUUAGAAGAGAGGUCCUCUUGGCAUUCCAGCAGAGAUGCUGCCUUUGACAGGCGUGAUAUCUGCCUUUUACUGAGAACUGAUCUGUCAGACCAUGCUAUGGCUUCUCUGUCCAUGGGAUUCUCCAGACAAGAAUACUGGAGUGGGUUGCUGUGGCCUCCUCCAGGGGAUCUUCCCGACCCAGGUAUUGAACCCACAUCUCUUGAGUCUCCUGCAUUGGCAGGCAGGUUCCUUACCACUAGUGCCACCUGGGAAGCCCUCGAUUAUACAAAUACAUGUGACUCAGACAAUGUUCAAUUAUGACCGGGAAACCAUGUUUGAUAUUCCUGUUUCCUUACAGAACAGCAGAAGAGGUAACUCUUAGUGACUAAAGCUGAAAACUUUUGAUGUUGUGGGAAAGAAAAUUAUUGCUGAUAUUCUGUGGCCAAAGCCAGGUUCUCUUCCCAAGCAGCUGAGUACUCUUGAAAAAUAUCUAAUUUCUCUGAAUUUCAGUUUGUUUGUUUGUAUAAUGGGAAUUAUAAUACCUCCCCUGCAAAUUUUCUUUGAAGAUUAAAUGUUAAAAUACAUGUUAAGCAUCUAGUAUUAUGCCUGCCACAUAGCAGGUGCUCAAUAAUUAUUAAUUUGUUUCCCUUCUAGUUACUCUAUAUCCUAAAGAUAGAGAAAAUAGAGUCUUUCAGACUGAGACGUGUUGAGAUCAAUUUAAAAAAAAUGAGAGAAAGAUGGUUUUGUAUUUCUGAAAGGCUAGUAAAUUAUUGAGUUCAUGAAUAAUAUAAUUUAUAUUGUACCUGUAUUUCACAAAACCUCUCAGAUGCAACAUCUUACUUGAGCCUCACAAUAAAUUGAAAGGUAGGUGUUAUUACCCUCAUAUAAAGGAUGAAAAAGUGAGGCAGAAUGAUAAAGACAUUUGUCCAUAGACAAGACUUGAUUUCAGAUCACUUUACCUUUUCCUUCCUAUCUUCCUCCUCUCCUACCAGCUCCUAUGUACGCUUCUGAGAUACGAAUUGAUAAAUUCAUUUCCAAAGUUACGGUUUUUCAGAAGUUUGAUUAUAUUAGGACUUUGUAAGCCUGGAGUCUUGGAAGCAAACUAGUUCAGAGAUCACAACUCUAUGUCCUGUUUCCGUGUAGACUUCAGUUCAUCACUUAUCACUUUUUUCCUUACUGCGGUAACAUUAAUCCCACAGAACCCACAUAAAGGUUAAAUAAGAUGUGUAUAAAGUGCCUGGCAUACAACUGGUGUCCAAUAGUUUUUUCUUUAUCUUUAAAGGGAAAUCUAUAUAGUUGUUUAAUUUAUAAGAUAAAAUGUCAAAUUUUAAUGAAAAUAAUCUGACUUGGCUUAGUAUACCAUUCUAUAUCUCUCUCUCUCUAUCAUCUAUCUGUCCCUUAUUAACAAUUGGUACACAUCACAGAAAAUGUCAGCUGCUGAACAGAAUUUCAAAAGGUACUUUAAGUCUCUUUUUUGAUGUGGUACUUUAUUAACCAUGUGGAAGAGUGGAUGAAAAUGUGCCAUUGCUUAACGUUAGUUUCUUUUGUGGGAAGUUUUUAAAAAAAAAACAAAAACACAAAAUUCAUAAUUGUAUUUGAAAGGGAAAAAUGUACACAUUUUUCUUUGCUUACCUUAAGCUCCUCAGUUUCUAUGAAGCCACUGUGAUCAGUAUCAUAUUUUCUCCAUGUCUGUAAGUAAUUUUGGAUAAGGAAGACCAAACACGUUAGAAAAGGUCACAAUUCCCCCACUUUCAGAUAUCUGAAGAUAUCACUCGGUGACAGAGGUUUCCUAUACCUUCAUGAAUUCCUCACAGGACUUUAGCUGCUGGCAUCGGAAAAGCAGCAGGAAGUUCUCUUCUGUGGGUAACACAUGAGCCAACUGGAAAAGAUCGAAGAAGCUGGUGUGAGGAGCUUGAAAGCAAGUCUCUCUCGUUUCCUGCUCUUAGUUGUGCUUGACCAUGAUUUUAUUACCCAGAAAACUAGGAGAGGAGAAACAUGGCAAUCGAUUUUCCCUUUCGAAUACUUUGUCCCUACAAAGUGUCAUCGUGUUUUGCAGGGCUUGCUGCCCUUUGAGAGACCGGUUCUCAGGUCAGGGAGGAGGCUGCAGCAAGCAUGCCUAGGGAGUGCAGGGAAGGGUGACUGACACUUCUCGUCUGCUAGACACACAAGCAGACUCAUGCCGGUGGCUCGACCCCUGCAUCUUUCCUGUGCCCCAGAUCAGGUCUUUUCCUGUGAGGGCCCAGAAGAUGGCACACGUGGGGCCAUAUAUUUCAUAAAAGAAGAAGCUGAGAUAUGAAUGUAGCAGAGAGGACAGAAGGCAAAAAAUGAAUUCUGAAAGUCGAAGGAGAAAGCUUAUUAAGAGAUUCAAUGGAAUACAAACUAAGGACAAUUGUAAAACAAGUGAAAGAGAGAUGGAAAAAGACACUUUACAGGGAACGGCGGAAACUGAAUGGUAAUAGGGAAUAUCAGUUCUCAAAUGUUUGGUGUCUGCUAAAAGGACAUCUGUUGCUUGAGUCCAGGGCUUAAAUUUUACUUGAUGAUCUCCCUUGAGUGACCCGACGACAUUUCUCCUAAGAUCUCAUUUUGUAACUUCAAUGCUCCUUUUUUUUUUUUUUUUUGGUGGAAAGAAGGACUCCAGAUCCCAUUUUAAGAUGAAUACAAUCUAUCUAUUGUGCUCAGGGAGAGUGGGAGCUGGACUGAUGGCCUAAUGAAGGUGUGUGCUCUAUUCCUGGGCAGCUGCUAAUUAGCUGUGGUCCCCAGCAACUCCCUCAGCCAUUUCUGGAACUUAGCAUGCUCAUCACUUAAAAUGAGGAGUUGAAAUAGAAACCAAUGUCUCUUAAAUGUAUUGGGUUCAAAAUGACUUUGAGAAUCUGUUAGAAUCCCUGCGUCCUCACCAUUAAAGAAUGAACCUAAACACUAUAUUUCAUCUAAUUUCCAGAAGUUGAUGAAUCCCCUGAAGUACAGGCAGGGACCCUCAUCUGUGAAUUUUAAACUAAAAAACCCGUGGUCUAGAUUAACCUUUAGGUCAGCAUAAAUGCCAAAAGUCUACCAAAUUAUAGAACAGACUCACACUUAAAAAAAAAUAUUGUCCUUUUAGGUCCAUUUAAAAAUUUUAAAUAUAAAAUGUAUCAUUCUAUCUUAUAUGCAAGUAACCUCAGCUUCUUUAUGCUGUAUAUGUCCUUUAACUUAUCUUAUUUUUAGAUCUUUGAAAUAAUAUUUCAAAUUAGAAUCAUUCAGGCACUAAUAAUGGGAUGAAAUGAAAGGGCAGAGCCAGAUAUCUUAUUAGAAUGUUUGGUAUGACUAUCAGAAAACAUUUUCUUAUUUCCAAAGGUCAAUAGUAUGGUUAUGCAUUAAUGCAAGCAUUAAUUUAGGAAACAGGAAAUAGCCAAUGCCAACUCUUUC
Bubalus bubalis (water buffalo) is the source of this 4244-nucleotide long non-coding RNA. RefSeq lists it as uncharacterized. Lineage: Eukaryota; Metazoa; Chordata; Mammalia; Artiodactyla; Bovidae. The transcript has 4 exons. The record is from RefSeq and is a predicted model, not a curated record.